CGGUAAACAGAGGGAAGCGAGCCUGCGAGGGGGAGCGAAUCCCAAAAAUAACGUCCCAGUUCGGAUUGUAGUCUGCAACCCGACUACAUGAAGCUGGAAUCGCUAGUAAUCGCGGAUCAGAAUGCCGCGGUGAAUACGUUCCCGGGUCUUGUACACACCGCCCGUCACACCAUGGGAGUCGGAAAUGCCCGAAGUCUGUGACCCAACCAUUAAGGAGGGAGCAGCCGAAGGCAGGUCGGAUGACUGGGGUGAAGUCGUAACAAGGUACC
This 269-nucleotide ribosomal RNA is filed under the name uncultured bacterium. Its description in RNAcentral is "partial 16S ribosomal RNA". It matches the Rfam family "Bacterial small subunit ribosomal RNA", at positions 1234 to 1500 of the family's 1533-position model. The record is from RNAcentral.